Molecule: ribosomal RNA, 709 nt
Filed under: Alexandrium tamarense
Lineage: Eukaryota; Dinophyceae; Gonyaulacales; Pyrocystaceae
Description: LSU rRNA
Rfam family: Eukaryotic large subunit ribosomal RNA
Source: RNAcentral
ACCCGCUGAAUUUAAGCAUAUAAGUAAGUGGUGGAAAUUAAACCAAAUGGGAUAUCUUUAGUAAUUACGAAUGAACAAGGAUAUGCUUAGCUUGACAAAUGGAGCUAUUGGCUUUGAAUUGUAUUGUGGAAAUGUAUUACCAACAGAGGUGCAGGUGCCAGCAUAUUGAAAUAAAGCGUCAAUGAGGGUGAGAAUCCUGUUUGCCAUGUGCAGCCCUUUGUGCACGGUGUAUAUUUGCUGAGUCACACUCCUUGACAUUGGAAUGCAAAGUGGGUGGUAAGUUUCAUGUAAAGGUAAACAUGCAACUGAGACUGAUAGCACACAAGUGCCAUGAGGGAAAUAUGAAAAAGGUUUUUGAAAGGAUAAUAAAAUGAGUUUGUAUUUGCUGAACACAAAGUAAACAGACUUGAUUUGCUUGGUGGGAGUGUUGCACUUGCUUGACAAGAGCUUUGGGCUGUGUGUGUAAUGAUUCGUUCUUUGCAUGCCAGUUUCUAUGUGUACAUCUGAUUACCUUUGCACAUGAAUGAUAAGUCUCCUGUGGGGGGUGGAUUGCAUGUGCAUGUAAUGAUUUGUGUUUUGAUAAAUGUGUCUGGUGUAUGUGUUUGUGUUCAUGUGAUUGGGGAUGCUUCCUUCCUUGGACUUACAAGCCCUGACACACACAUGCUGGCAAAAUGAUUAUGCUUGACCCGUCUUGAAACACGGACCAAGG